RNAcentral lists this ribosomal RNA (819 nucleotides) under Streptomyces sp. Sp080513IM-20. Its description in RNAcentral is "bacterial SSU rRNA". It matches the Rfam family "Bacterial small subunit ribosomal RNA", at positions 54 to 888 of the family's 1533-position model. Lineage: Bacteria; Bacillati; Actinomycetota; Actinomycetes; Kitasatosporales; Streptomycetaceae. The record is from RNAcentral.
CAUGCAAGUCGAACGGUGAAGCCCUUCGGGGUGGAUCAGUGGCGAACGGGUGAGUAACACGUGGGCAAUCUGCCCUGCACUCUGGGACAAGCCCUGGAAACGGGGUCUAAUACCGGAUAUUACCUUCCUCUGCAUGGGGGUUGGUGGAAAGCUCCGGCGGUGCAGGAUGAGCCCGCGGCCUAUCAGCUUGUUGGUGGGGUAAUGGCCUACCAAGGCGACGACGGGUAGCCGGCCUGAGAGGGCGACCGGCCACACUGGGACUGAGACACGGCCCAGACUCCUACGGGAGGCAGCAGUGGGGAAUAUUGCACAAUGGGCGAAAGCCUGAUGCAGCGACGCCGCGUGAGGGAUGACGGCCUUCGGGUUGUAAACCUCUUUCAGCAGGGAAGAAGCGAAAGUGACGGUACCUGCAGAAGAAGCACCGGCUAACUACGUGCCAGCAGCCGCGGUAAUACGUAGGGUGCGAGCGUUGUCCGGAAUUAUUGGGCGUAAAGAGCUCGUAGGCGGCCUGUCGCGUCGGUUGUGAAAGCCCGGGGCUUAACCCCGGGUCUGCAGUCGAUACGGGCAGGCUAGAGUUCGGUAGGGGAGAUCGGAAUUCCUGGUGUAGCGGUGAAAUGCGCAGAUAUCAGGAGGAACACCGGUGGCGAAGGCGGAUCUCUGGGCCGAUACUGACGCUGAGGAGCGAAAGCGUGGGGAGCGAACAGGAUUAGAUACCCUGGUAGUCCACGCCGUAAACGUUGGGAACUAGGUGUGGGCGACAUUCCACGUCGUCCGUGCCGCAGCUAACGCAUUAAGUUCCCCGCCUGGGGAGUACGGCCG